Ictalurus punctatus (channel catfish) is the source of this 691-nucleotide long non-coding RNA. Lineage: Eukaryota; Metazoa; Chordata; Actinopteri; Siluriformes; Ictaluridae. The record is from Ensembl.
CACACACAGCCAAAGCGAGGAGUGAAAAGGAGACAGAAAGAAAUAGAAAAAGCCUAAAUUAUAAUUAUAUAUUAUAAUUAACUGUUUGAAAGAGUGAAAGCAAAGGUCGAAACAAUACAAGUUGUAGUGCUGAGGAACUUCGGUUUGUAGUUUUAUCCGAUGUGAGACUUGGUCAGGUUUUUUUGAUUCCAUGGGAAGAAGUUUACAACAAUUUUUCAACAGUUUGAUGGCGAGCCACCCAACCAGAACCACUGUGUCUUGAAGGACGGGAUUUAAAAUUUUUUAUUAUUUUGGCUUUUCUGCAAAGUACUACAAAUGAAAAUACUCUAGAGGAGUGCCUUCAUUCAGAGUAAAAGAAAUUGUAGAGACCUUGAAAAAGACAUUUUAAUUUUGGAUGUGAUUUUUAUUUUAUUUAAGUUUUGUUAUUUUCCGUGUAUGUAUAUAUUUUAUUUUAGGCUUAACUUGGAGGGUGCAUCCUAGGAUAUUAUAUAUGUAUUGUUUAAUUUCACUCACUCUAAAUUGUAUAUAAAUCAUUCUAUAUUUACCUUUAUAAGUUGUGCUGUCACUGUUAUUGUUUCAAUCCACUACCUCCUACGUACCCUUUAGUCUUCUGAUAUCUGGUCUACACAUCAUCUAUAUAGUACAUAUUUAAUAUAUGCUACAUUUACCUAUGAUUUUAUGAACAUAAUUG